Lotus japonicus is the source of this 11217-nucleotide long non-coding RNA. RefSeq lists it as uncharacterized. The transcript is spliced from 6 exons. The record is from RefSeq and is a predicted model, not a curated record. NCBI's taxonomy places the organism in Eukaryota, Viridiplantae, Streptophyta, Magnoliopsida, Fabales, Fabaceae.
CAAAACCCUUAUUUUUAUCACAGUUCAGUUCCAUUAACUUUACCACUCGAUCUACUACCUUCGUCUCUCAACCGCUCUCAAAGCAUGCUGCACCCGUCGUGCCACCACCGUCCCUGCCGCUCUUGUUUCGCUUGUGCACAGUGAGCAUUUGGUCACGCUUCUCAACAACUGCUUCAUCUCUUUCUCUCACGCUGUGUCAGUUCAGAAAUCGGAACUCAUCUCUGGAUUUCGAUUUCGUCGAUUAGUUCUGAAUCGGUGAUAUCUGAAAAACGAAGUUCAGAAGAAAUGCUUCUGAGGUGAAACCCCCUCAAGGUAUGAGUUUUUGAGCAUGGUGAAGAAGCACUCGAAUUUGAUACUAGAUCUGGUGAGUUGGGGUUUGGUUGAUGCUUGCAAUUGAUCUGGAAGUUGGGGGUUUCUGGCUUGGUGAAGGUAUGUGGCUAUGCUGUUUUGUGUUGUUGGUUCUUUUACUGUAUUUUGUACAAUUAGUCAUGAACACUUCAAAUUAAGCUUAUUUGUGGUUCAUUUGCGCUAUGCUCAACAAGUUUAUCUCAUGAUAUAUUUCAAGCAGCAAAACAUAUAUAGCAGAAAACAUGUAUAAGAAUCUGAACGAAUUUAGUUAGAGAAAAGAAUGAAGAUGUUGUGCAGGUUCUAAACCAAAAAUUUCUUUGACAUCCAUGCCUGGUUUGAACCAGCUUGAGGUAGAGGAUCUUUAUCAUUGUUGUUUUUCUUUGUGUAGCUUCUUAUAAUUGGUUUGACAUUACUAGUUUUUCUUUUCCUUGCUCAAGUUUCAUGUACCCCUUUUCCAUUAAAAAAUUUGUGCAUAUAUUUCAGGAUGUCACAAAUAAAUGAUGAGUUUUGGCGAUGGAAGUAGAAAAGAAUUGGCCAAAAAGUUGUCUCUUUUUUCAGUGCUUCUUUCCUCAAAACAUGGUCCAACAUCUUGAGACACCAUUGUUUCUACUCAAUGCUUCAUACGAUACAUGGCAGUGUGUUUGGGUUGUUUAAUGUGUCUGCCAAGUGGUAUGCAUUCUUUUUGUUGGUAGUAUUCCAGCUUCUCAUAUAAAAUGUCUCACUACUUGGACACCUUUGUGGCAUUUUAUCUGGGUUUGCAUGUCAGAUUUCACUCAUUUUGCCUCCCUUUUCAUUUUCUAUUUUUGCCAAUAUUUGAGCAAUUGACCUCAAGUUUUAUAUUGUGUUGCUUAAUGUUCCAGAUACAUAUGGCUUGUUUAAUUUCCUCAUACCUAGGAAAUCUUUUUAUUCUUCCAUUGAAGCCUCUUCCUUGCUUGUAAGUAUCUUUCUGGAAUUGGCUUUGGUACUGCACAAAGAUGACAAAACUUGCAUUUGAUUGCUUUCAUAUCCUCUUGAGUCUUGAUGUUAUCAUUGGACUUGAUUCAUAUACAUAUCAAAUCACAUUUAUAAAUUGUACUUUUGAUCUGUUUAUAAACAUGUCUAUUUAUUUACAUGAAGUUUUCUAUAGAACAGAGAUAUCUGAGUUUACAGCAUCCAUUUAGUCGUCUUUAUUCCUUGGCUUUUGUAGUGCCCUUGUCACUACAUAAUGAAGAGCAAUUUGCGUGAAGUUAAAGAUGAGUGGGCCGCUUAAUGUAGUUAACACAUCUUUUUAGUAGUUAAUCUAUUAGAUGUUGAUAUUAUGCACUUUAGAAAUUGUUUCAGAUUUAUGAAGCUUUAUAUAUAUAUAUAUAUAUAUAUAUAUAUAUAUAUAUAUAUUUGGACAGGUCCCGCCAAACAAGAUACUUGCGAGACCUUAACGUUAGGUCAACGCUGGGUAAGGCGAGUCAACGAAGGAGCUCGCCAGUGUCCAGACAGGUUUAAUUAGGCAUAUGGGUCAAUACUAAGGCUCAAUAGACCAUAGACAAGGCCCAAAUGUAAUAGAUUUAGACAAGGCCCAAAUGUAAUAGAUUUAGGUUUAGGGUUCAGCCCCACUAUAAAAGACUAACCCCCAUUCAUAAUAGAGGAGGUUCUUUCUUUGGCAUAACAAUGACUACCAUAAACCCUAGAGGAAGGUCAUCAUUAUUCAUGUAAGAACACUUUUUGGCGCCCACCGUGGGGCCGGUAAAUUUUCCAUUCCCGCCUCCACAAAGGAACUCAUCGAUCAAGGUGAGAAAGGUUUUGGUGUGAUAUCAUGUUGGGACGGAUUUUAGUUCUGAGGGAUGAAUCUUCGAUGGUCUUUUUCUGAUCUGGAUUCAUGAGGGAAUGUCUUCACCUUCUGGAAUCCAUCUCGCAGCACCUCUUUCGACGGUACGUUCUUCCUCUGUGUUCAGUAACCAUGGCGGCAAGGGCUUGGUGAGCAGCAUCGGCGACGAUUCUUGGCGUCGGGUGAGGAAAUGGCGAGACGAGCUCUCAAUGUUCAUCGCUCAGUUCGUCAUGGCGGUUACCUCACCACUGUCGACGGAUUCACCCCUACUCGCCUAUCACCAUGGUGUUUCUUGUCCGCUGUAGCAGGUCUCACCGCCAGGAAGCUCAACGUCAAGGAAUGAACCAGAACUGAUUCCGAGAAGCGCAUCUGACCACUCACAUUCUCUCUUUCUCUGAUAUUACUAUGUGUUUCUUAAUAACCUUUGAAAGUUCUACCUCUGAGUUUUCAGGCCUCAUUGCUCUCUUUGUGCAGAGAUUUACAUGUGCUGUUCGGUGUUCUGCACAGAAGGUGUUUGAUAAAAUGACUCUGUGAGUUCGUUGGUGAAAAUGGAGGACCGUGAAAGGCAGCGGGGACUAAUUCGGACUCAGAAAGCUGUCACCAUGUAUCAGGGCAGUGAAACCUCCACUCAGCUAGCUUGUCUUUCUAAUUUCGUUCCUCAUUUCAUUACCAUGGGGUUUUUGUUUAUGUUAUGUCUGCAUUAUUAACUGAUGAACAUUUGACUCAGAUCUGAAACAUUGCUAGCCGAGUAGUAUCAUUGUCUUAAAUAAAUAUGUACUUUUAAUUUCCAUUGAUCUUACUAUUUUGAGCAUGCUUUCGCUUAUGAGAAACAUGUUCUAAUAAUCAUCACCAAACUAUGCAUUGUGGAAAUUCAAUCUGUCUAUCAAUCUAUUGCUUUGAGUUCGCCUCUUGUGUUUUUCUUGAAAUCUGAAUGCUCUCUAUGUAUUCGACAAAUUAACUAAAUGGCUGGUUAGGAUAAGCUGGUUAAGGUAAGCUUUCUAUGAGUUUUCUUAGACAUUUGUGGGUUAAUUUUUUAAGUUGAUUUUAACAUUUGCCUCUGAGCAGGAUUAACACAGACUUUCAGGGUCGUUUCCUUAAUAUCAUGAUAAGUUAUUUGCUUACAUUGUCAUGAGAUGCAAAAACAAUUUGUUUAAUUGAGUUAUUGAUAUAAAUCGAACUUCAUAUCAUCCCUGUAUGCAUUAAUAAAGAACAUCUUCAUGGUGAUGUACUCUAGUGAAAGAUCAUAUGAAAUGAUUGAAUAGAUUUCUCAAGCACCACUUGUUUGAUAAAUUAUUUGACUGAAUUUUCACUACACUGCAAUAAAAAUCUCAAUGCCUGCAAACUGUUUGGUAAGAUGCAUGAUUGGAAUUUCGCUCUUUAUCUUCAUCUCUGAAAUGCAAUUCAAACGCUUGGAAAAUGUUUUAUUGGGAUGACUGAAUGAUUGGUGAGCACACUUCAAAUUCGUCUUAUAAUCUCUAUAUAUUGCAACUGCUUGAUGCCAUGAAAAAAUGAGUUUUAGUUACAUUUCAAGUGCAUGCUUGAUUAACUUAAAGUGGCUGAAAAAUAACAGAAUGAAUUUGAACCCAUAUCUCCAUUGUACUUAACUGCUAAAUUCACGUGUAUUGAUUUGUACAGUUUGCAAUUGGUAGAAUAGUUUAUGCACUAGAACUGUUUGAUAAAAUGCCUCACAAAAACCUUGUUUUGUAUCUCCUACUAGUUGCUUGACAUAAUGCCUGGAAGAUUUGUACAAAAACAUAAAAUAAGAAAAUAUUUUCCGUAAUUGAACAGCAUGAUUACGAUAGAUUCAUCUAACUGCUUGGAGUGAAAUUGUUCACACUGAAUGGAGGAGGUCCAAAAAGUUUUAGAUUCUCUUUGAUUUUCUUUCCACUCUUUGUACCAUGAAUUAUUAUUACCCUGAAGCUGACAUUAUCAUUCUUUGCACUCUUGAUGUAUGGUACAAAUCUGAGGAUCAUGAGGGACCAGGAAUGAGUGGAUAAAUCAAGGCAGCAUAAUCUAUAUUUGGUUGAAAGGAAGGAAGAAUUAAAGAGGCUGUCAUGAACCAGGGGAGUAUAAUAUUCUUGCUGUUAGCCAGGUUAUCUGAUCUCAGCUCUACCUUUCUGACAAUUUUAAUGCACACUGCCUAUCUGAUAGACCACCUCAGUGAUUUAUUGAAUAUAUGCAUAUGGGCAUAUAUCCACAAUCUGCACAAUCUGCAUGCUACUUGUUUAUAUGACAGUGAUCUUCUCUUUUCUUUUGAUGAUGGUACUUUGAAGAACAAUCCUACAGCUUUAAUUUAAUGAACUUUUGGAAAGUGUAUAAUUUUAGAAGAUGUUAUAUAUCCUUAUAUGAAUCUGAACUGUUGGAGUUACGAAAAAUAAAUGAGCUUCAAUCUUGAUGAAUAAGGAAGUUUAAGGUGAUUUUAUUAAAGUAAUCUUUGCUAAUGAUUUGUUAUAUUUCCGGCAAGACAGGCUCUUGAAAAGAUGUUAAAGUAUGUUUGCUGUAUGAUCUGAAACUGGUUACAUUGAUCUUAAUGUAUUUGCUGUCACUUUACUGUCUUGAUUUAACAAUAGUUGAAAUAAACUCUAAGCUGGAAUAUCUGAACAAAGCAAGCGCAUAGCAAUUCCUCCUAUGAAUAAAUUUUGCUGCAAACUGUUGUUCUCAUUACCUCCUACUCAUCCCCAAAUGACUCCUACAUGUGUGAAAAAUUCUCUUAUGGAUUAGACCUGAUCUGAAUUCUGAAAGCGAUAUUGUUUGGAUGCUGUUACAAAGAUCUCUCAAUGAGACAUGAUAUGCUAGCUUAACUCUAUCUAGCUUGCAUAGUUCUGCUAUUUUAGGAAUUGUCUAUUGCUGGUUCUGAUUUUAUUUUUAUUAGGAUUUCCUCACUAUGGCUAUAUUCCUAUACAGUAGCAUCCAUUGUUGAUAGUACUCGUUUUAUGUGAAUGUGAAGUUUUCCUCAAUAUACAAAUACAUGAUCAGGUUUCUUUUAUGUGAAUGUACUAUUAAUUCCCGGCAGAGGGACUUCUUGUUAUGCCUUAUGCUUUUAAUGUUGAUUAUGGUUACACUUCCACACAAUUGAAAUUUGUCAUUCACAAAAUGCAAAUGAAUUUGAUAUCAAAGGAAUAGCUUAAAUGGAAAGUCCAAUUGGAUGGUGUUACAAAUUGAUAUUUACAGUACAAGUAUAAGACUCCAUGGCUAGUAAGGCUGAGUUUAUGAGAUUACGUCAUUAAGGACGAUUUAUGGCAAGGUACGUAUAAGACUCCAUGGCUAGUAAGGCUGAGUUUAUGAGAUUACGUCAUUAAGGACGAUUUAUGGCAAGGUACGUUGUACGCCAAACCUGGGUUGGACCCGCCAACUACAUGUUGGAUAGUGGCCACGCAGUUAACCGAGGUUGGUCCCGCCAGCUAUAUGUUGGAUAGGAACCGCCCGUUUCAGCGCGUAAUGAGCCGCGUCAUGUAACUUGAACACAUCACCGAAACCUGGGUUGGAUACGCCGGCUACAUCGUUGGAUAGUGCCCACCCAGUUCGUGCUUAAAAGAGCCGCGGGACCACAUGAGAUGCCAAUAAAAGAAUCUCAACGAAAGGCAAAACAUGUGCCAACGGUUAAGGACGGUCCUUUUGAUGUCCUCAUGUCUUUGAGACUUUGUUCUUGCAGCUUCAUGUGACUUGGUUGUUCACAUCUCCAAAACCUAGGCCGGUCUCGCCUCCUAUAUGUGGGAUAGAGAUAGCACGGUUCGCCCUUUAAGAGCCGCAUUAAGACUUGGGGCGCGAAUGAAGCGACCUCAUAACAAAGUGAAACAGGCCGAGUGUAAAAGCAAGGUCAACAAACACGUUAUUUGCAUCUCGCCACUGUUGUCACUCUCAAAACAUUUGGUUGUUGGUGGUAUUUGAACUUUAUUUCCAGAUUACGUGUUUAGCGAAUUAAUGAUAAGUUCAAAAGUAUGAUUCUACAAGUCAAUUUCUUCAAUACUCGCAUGAUUCUCCAUGGCUAUAUGUUGGGUUGAGAACAUGUGACUGCGUCGUUAGGAAUGACAUUGUGCAAUAGAUUUUGGCGGCUUGAUCUCGUCAUCUUAUCAUUGUCAUCUUGGAGUAAAGACGCGCUUCGUCUUCAUGCUUCAGACUCGGCGUCUUGCGGGCAUGAGAACUGGGCAGAUACUUCCCACAUAUGAUGACUUCUUCAGACAUGGUAGCAAAUGUAUUUAUUAGUCGAUUUUGUGGCGGGUUAUAUGUUCAUUAUGCCAUUGUUGGCACUUGUAUUUAUUGGUCGUUUUUAUGGCGAGUUGUAUGUCUACUACGCCAUGUUGGCGACCUAUAUGCUUUAUAGAGGACACUCUUCACUUUCAAAGUCGAGUUUAGAACGGUGUAACCUGGAAGGCUAGUUAACGAGUUGUCUAAGGGCGGCACGUGUUCUUUGAGACUUGAGACAAUUAGGACAUACUCCUGCUUCAGACCCGGCGUCUUGCGGGCAUGUGGACUGGACUUGCCCUAUGUUGGCGGGUCGAGACCUGAUACUAAAGACGCACUUCAUCCUUCUGCACAAGGACUCGACGUCUUGCGGGCAUGUGGACAGGUCCCGCCAAACAAGAUACUUGCGAGACCUUAACGUUAGGACAACGCUGGGUAAGGCGAGUCAACGAAGGAGCUCGCCAGUGUCCAGACAGGUUUAGUUAGGCGUAUGGGUCAAUACUAAGGCUCAAUAGACCAUAGACAAGGCCCAAAUGUAAUAGAUUUAGACAAGGCCCAAAUGUAAUAGAUUUAGGUUUAGGGUUCAGCCCCACUAUAAAAGGCUAACCCCCAUUCAUAAUAGAGGAGGUUCUUUCUUUGGCAUAACAAUGGCUACCAUAAACCCUAGAGGAAGGUCAUCAUUAUUCAUGUAAGAACAAUAUUUAUUGGUAUUGAUAUGCUAUAGAGAAAUAUGAAUAGGUGGGGGUAAUUCAGGGGCUGAAAAAAGAACUGCUCUGUCACUCAAUUACAGCGGUUAAAGUUUCGAAACCGCUGUAAAAGAAUAUCUACCUACAGCGGUUACGCGGAAGAACCGUUGUUGUAGCUAGGUAUUUACAGCGGUUAAACUGAAGAACCGCUGUAAAUAAGUCAUCUUUUACAGCAGUUCGAACCGCUGUAUAGUCUUUUACAGCGGCGAGAUCUACAGCGGGUCAAAACCGCUGUAAAAGCCCAAAUUUAACCGCUGUAAAAGCCCUUUUUUGGCGUAGUGGACACAAUAAUUACAAGACCCAACCGGGCAAGCUGAAUAACAUAAGUCGAAAAUCAAAGAAACCGAACAAGCUAAUCAUUACUAUUACCAGCAAAAGUUAUCAUUACAAACGGUCAACUAUUACAAUCGUCCAGAAGGACUCAAAACACUUAAGCAAAAAAUAAAAUGACAUAACAAUCCCCUCAGGGAGCCUGCUCCGCCGGGAGACCACCUUUCGAUAGCCAAUCGGCCCAGUCUCCAAACCCGGGUUGACAACCGAAAGCUGGAUCACCGCAUUGUUGAAGGAAGCCUUGUUGAUCUUCGACACGGUGGCCGCCAGCUUCUUCUUAUCAGCCUCCAGAGAAGCGACCCUGGCCUCGAGCUCUUUUUUCUCUUUCUUCAGAGCAGUACUCUGAUCAAGCUCCUAAAGCCGAGCGGCCUUCUCCCCCACCAAUUCCUUCUCUACCUCCUUCAAUCGAGCCGCACCGGUCUCAGUGCUCUCCUCAGCAAGCUUCAGCCGUUUCCCCAAGUCUUGUCGAGCCGCAUCACCGUCCAAUACCUUCUUCGUCAGCUGCUCAUUCUCGGCCUUCGCAUUGUCCAACGCCUUGCUCAAUUCCUCGAUCGUAGAGCACCCCGCCUCCAGCUCCCCGCUCAUGGAAGAUAUCAACUGCCCAUCCUUCUCGACUUUCUGUCUGAGCUCCUCCAAUUCCGGCAGAGCCGACGACUGCAAAUACCGAACAGCAGAGGCAGUCUUGAGCGAGGCCCAGAGAGCAUAAUUGAGGAGUCCGUAGGGCUCCUGAUCACCCAGGUACUUCUGGUCACUCUCCGUCAGCACAAGAUCGUCGAUCUGAUCUAGAUGUUCUGGGCAAUUGGCUGCCCUAGGACCCCACAUCGAAAUCCCAGUGAGGGCUACCACGGUAACGGGCUCCACCCGCUCCGCCUUGGAACUCUGCCCCUCGCCAUCAAAGUAAUCUUGAUUGCGCUCCACCCUCCGCUUCUUUGGGGUCGGAUUCCGGGCACCCUCUUCAUCAGACGACUGCCCCUCCUCUUGGACGGGAACAGAGCCCCGACCCCCUGGGGAUACACCCUUCGGAGGAGAACCAGUUCCCUGGCCGCCCUCCAUCAAGGCCUUCUCCGCGGACCCAGAUGUCCCCCCUACCUCAGCCCCUUCCACACUCUUAGGAUCGGGGACCGGCUGAUUUCCAACACCUUCCUCCCCCCCCCAAUCGGCGCUCACCUUCGGAAACCUCAGUCUCUUGAUCCGCCUCCUCAUCCGUGGUCUGACCGUCUUCCACCUGCAACGCCUCCAACAGGGUCCGAUCAAUGUCUGCCAUAGCACCUGCCCAAAGAAGAACGACAUUAGCAAACAAAAGACAGAAAGAAACGACGAAGGGUAUAAUAUAUAGAUAACUUACGCAAUACCUUAGCAUUCUUCCGAACGUUGAAGGAACACAAGUCAUAACAACGAAGGGGACGAACCGUAACUUUCUUGUCCCCCUCUAUGACGUAACGAACGACACCCAUCAACAACCGUUAGAAUUCCAGAUCGGUCUCCGAUAGGGCGCCCUCGUCCGAGAAACUGAACGACGUCAACUUCUCUUUAUAAUGGGCCGCAUUCCAGGCCAGCGGGAAGCGCGGUCGCAUUCCGCCGCUCGGACCCUGCUCAAACCACCAGUAGGGAGGGGGCGAGGUUGGCACCACCCGGCAGAACUGGUCCUUGAAAUCUUUAUACGAAUCGGCAAAGGCCUUAAAUAUCGGGUAUACCGUUCUCAGGGUCACCAUGCCGUGACCACCGUGGCCUUGGGUAUGGGCGACCGCGAAAAGAUGGAAGAAUAGAGGCAGGGAGGGCACCUGCCCAAAGAUAGCGCAGGUCGUCUCAUAGCCUCGCACGAAGCCCCAACCCCCCGGGUGAGGUUGGGAGGGGGCCACCAUCAUGUGCCUGAGCACAGCGACCUGAAAAUCGGUAAGCGGCAUCCGCACCUUCACCUUCUUCAUCGUAUAAAUAUGCAUAUAGAUGCUGAAUGGGGGGGGGUCUGCGGGAGCCUCUCCGUCUUCCCAGGAGCAAGGACGUCAUGCUCAGGACCGAUCUGCUUCUGUGACAGAUAAUACUGCUUCCGGAAGUGUCCCUCGUCCUCGUUAGCAUAACAGGACUCGAUCUUCAAGAUCUCCCUGCACCAUUCGUCCAAGGGCGCCAAGUCACCCUCCAGAUGGGGAAACUUCUUCCGAUCGAUUUCCUUCCGUUUCGGGGCGUUCUGACUCAGCUUCGGUUUGGAACUCUCCCCGACUGCUUUACCUUUUCUCUUUUGGGCACCAGCCAUACCGAAACCUGCGCAAGGGAAAACGUCGUCUCAAUAUUACAAUUCAUUGAUCACGACUCAAAGGGGAAACCCGCCAGGAUCCGUCUUUGUCCCCGGCAGGGAGAACAAACCCUGCGCCGAAGGGACGGCCCAUGGACCGCCCCUCAGUCGCACGGGGGGAGGAGACCACUCCCACCCGAAAGACGCACCCUAGAAACCCCUAGAGAACGGAACUAGGAAGAAAGGGAAGAAAAGUAAAAUAAAAGGCAGAAGAAGUUGAGAAGAACUUACAAAGGAAAUGACGGGGACGACCACCAAGAAAUCAGGAACGACCGCCUCGAAAACGACGUCUAACGGCGCAGAAAUUCAGAACUUUAAGGAAGAAAAGAGGAGAGCUUGAGGUGCGAAAAAGCGCAAAUGAAGCCCCUCCCUCUCUUUUAUAAGGAAACUCGGGAAUGGGAAGCGACGCUUCACCAAACCCUACGACUGUAAUGAUGACGCUAGGGGAGGCGGGAAAAAUCUCGUCCAAUCCGCUUCCGCCACGUCAGCAAGGAGAACGAAACGACGUAACGCGUGCCACACUUUGUCAGACGCAUUAAUUACGCCGCAGAAACGUCGCUUCACGUUACUGUGGCAUAACGUUUAGAGUUCGGGACCGCCCAGUCGUCCAUAGACUACGAAGGGAGUCGACUGGUUACCCCCCUCUCCCGCCACCGUAUGCCGGGUAGUCCGGAACACCACCUUUCCUCCUCCACCCGUCCGGACACAACUCUAAAGCUCAUGCCCCACUCAUACAGUGGGGCAGAGCUGGGGGACUACUGUUCUGGUAGGGGCUGACAGGAACCGACCGGAGGGCGCUCAAGCGAGCCUCACCUAGGAGGGCCUCACCUAAAGCUCCAGGCCCGCUAAAGUAGUGGACCAGAGCUGGGGGACUACUGUUCUGGGACGGACGGAGACACACCGACCCCUACCCCAGUAUGGUUAGUACCUGUUCUGGGACGGACGGAGACACACCGACCUCUACCCCCAGUAUGGUUAGUACCCGAUCAGGGUUACCCGGUGAAGGCCCCGAGGGGACGACCGGGGUCGGAUGUCCGGGCCCUGUACCACAAGCAGGACGACAUCCUCCCCUGAUCCAAGAACCUGGACCCCACCACCUAGAGGUUGACCUAGGCCCACCACCCUACGGAACUAGGGUGGUUGGGAGGUGGGUCCCUAGGGAUUCUAGGCCGUUGGAUCACUGUUAACAACAGGAGGAGCAGAAGGAUCCAACGGUUCCUAGUCCACCGGUACGGACCAUGCAUGACGUUGCAUGGCUCCAACCCUAAUACCCCAACGUGUAUAUAAGGGAGGCGACACAUCCAUUCUAAGGAGCCCCUCCCGGGAUCACUCAGUUCGUCAGAACACCAGCCCUUCUUCCCUCUUGGCUGCCCCAGCACUCCGUGAUCAUCCCAAUCAAGAUAUAAAUGUUUUCAUUUGAAAAUCUUUACGUAACGUUAUGCAAUGGAUAAGAAAACAAUAGUCCUUCAAUUAUUUUUUUCGUAGAUGUUAUUCAAUUCUUUCAACACUAUGUUUCAUGCAUA